This 72-nucleotide transfer RNA is filed under the name Sphaerodactylus townsendi. Its description in RNAcentral is "tRNA-Val". It matches the Rfam family "tRNA". From Rfam's summary of the family: Transfer RNA (tRNA) molecules are approximately 80 nucleotides in length. Their secondary structure includes four short double-helical elements and three loops (D, anti-codon, and T loops). Lineage: Eukaryota; Metazoa; Chordata; Lepidosauria; Squamata; Sphaerodactylidae. The record is from RNAcentral.
UAAGCUGCAGCUCAGUGGUAGAGCAUCUGCUUUACAUGCAGAAGGUCCCAGGUUCAAGCCCUUACAUCUUAA